Long non-coding RNA from Magnolia sinica, 780 nucleotides. RefSeq lists it as uncharacterized. The record is from RefSeq and is a predicted model, not a curated record. The transcript has 3 exons. Lineage: Eukaryota; Viridiplantae; Streptophyta; Magnoliopsida; Magnoliales; Magnoliaceae.
CUGAAAGUUAGUGUCAUCCACUCCCGGUUGCAAACUUCUUUGAAGUUUUGAAUUGAACUGAACCAGUUACACGUUGGCCAUUUCCUUUACAGAGACUGUUUAGUGUUGGCUGUUUCUCUAGGCCUCAAAAAUAUCGUUAUUCUUAUCUUUAUUUUAUUUUAUUCUUCUAUCCUUAGGCCAUUUUGCCUAUAGAUAUUUUUGGUAUGUAAGCAAGGGAGAAACCAUGACUCAAUAUGAAGUUAAUGGACUUGAGGUUGAGAUCCUCUUUAAUAUUGUGAAUGUAACAGAUUAUUAAAGAAGUUAAUGUAACGUGCUAUGAAUAAUCAUGACAUAACCAUGAUGUGUAGUUUAGUAUUUCCAUUUUUUGGUAUUAAAAUAAAUGUUUCUUAAUUGUUUUUCUUGGGUGUCUACUUAGUUGUAACUGCUGCAUUUUUACUACUCAUUGCUUUGCAGCUUCGAGCUUUUUCAGCGGCAACAAGCUUCUCAUCAAUGGCAGCCAAGGCUAAAUGAACUUGUGAAGCGCUUGGAGGAAUCCCUAUUUAAGAAUUCUACUUCAAAGGAGGAGUACAUGAACAUGGAAACACUAGAGCACCGGUUGCAAACUUCAUUGAGAUCUGAAAGUUAGUCUCAUCAAACUGGUACAUGAACGACCUCAGGCAACCUGCUGAGGAUAGUGAUGGCGACUAUUACAGGGAUUCAAGUAGUGAUGGAAGAAGUGAUUCUGAGCUUGAAAGAGGGUUCAAAUAUACAAGGGAGCGGUCGAACCGUCAUCAUCCUACA